RNAcentral lists this ribosomal RNA (251 nucleotides) under uncultured prokaryote. RNAcentral's name for it is "partial 16S rRNA". It matches the Rfam family "Bacterial small subunit ribosomal RNA", at positions 525 to 775 of the family's 1533-position model. The record is from RNAcentral.
ACGUAGGGGGCGAGCGUUAUUCGGAAUUACUGGGUGUAAAGGGUAUGUAGGCGGCCCUUCAAGUCGCGUGUCAAAGUCCAGUGCUCAACUCUGGGUGUGCACGGGAUACUGACGGGCUUGAGUGCUGGAGAGGUGAGUGGAAUUCCCGGUGUAGUGGUAAAAUCCGUAGAGAUCGGGAGGAACACCAGCGGCGAAGGCGGUCCACUAGAAAGUUACUGACGCUAAGAUACGAAAGCGUGGGGAGCAAACAG